Molecule: transfer RNA, 90 nt
Filed under: Saprospiraceae bacterium
Lineage: Bacteria; Pseudomonadati; Bacteroidota; Saprospiria; Saprospirales; Saprospiraceae
Also listed under: 1 other name
Description: tRNA-Ser
Rfam family: tRNA
About the family: Transfer RNA (tRNA) molecules are approximately 80 nucleotides in length. Their secondary structure includes four short double-helical elements and three loops (D, anti-codon, and T loops).
Source: RNAcentral
GGUGGGAUGGGUGAGUGGCUGAAACCAACAGUUUGCUAAACUGUCGUACGGGUAACCGUACCGAGGGUUCGAAUCCCUCUUCCACCGCCA